GAUGAAGAACGUAGUGAAAUGCGAUAAGUAAUGUGAAUUGCAGAAUUCAGUGAAUCAUCGAAUCUUUGAACGCACAUUGCGCCCCCUGGCAUUCCGGGGGGCAUGCCUGUCCGAGCGUCAUUUCUGCCCUCAAGCCCGGCUUGUGUGUUGGGCGUGGUCCCCCCGGUUUAGGGGGGACCUGCCCGAAAGGCAGCGGCGACGUUCCGCCUAGGUCCUCGAGCGUAUGGGGCUUUGUCACCCGCUCGGGAGGGGCCUACGGGCGUUGGCCAUCCACCAUUUAUUUUUUUUACGGUUGACCUCGGAUCAGGUAGGAGUUACCCGCUGAACUUAAGCAUAUCAAUAAGCGGAGGA
RNAcentral lists this unclassified non-coding RNA (351 nucleotides) under soil metagenome. Its description in RNAcentral is "partial contains 5.8S ribosomal RNA, internal transcribed spacer 2, and large subunit ribosomal RNA". The stretch from base 1 to 120 matches the Rfam family "5.8S ribosomal RNA", at positions 35 to 154 of the family's 154-position model. The record is from RNAcentral.